AUGCCCACUGAUUAUAAAAAUACAUUAUUCUGAGGAAUAAAAACCAGCUACUGGUCUUCUAUAUUUUUCUUUAUCACCGGAUCCUUUAUCUUUGCUCUCCAUCCUCCUCUCUUUAAUCUGGUGACUGGUCUGCUGAUUGGGAUUAUGAGAUAAAAGGGCAU
Small nucleolar RNA from Platichthys flesus (European flounder), 161 nucleotides. RefSeq annotates it as small nucleolar RNA SNORD97. Lineage: Eukaryota; Metazoa; Chordata; Actinopteri; Pleuronectiformes; Pleuronectidae. The transcript has a single exon. The record is from RefSeq and is a predicted model, not a curated record.